Molecule: long non-coding RNA, 258 nt
Filed under: Elaeis guineensis (African oil palm)
Lineage: Eukaryota; Viridiplantae; Streptophyta; Magnoliopsida; Arecales; Arecaceae
Description: long non-coding RNA (EGUI_LNC040670)
Source: RNAcentral
CCAUGCCCCAGUCCAUGUGCCACUGUCCCCAUGUCGGAUCUGCCACCCCAUCAUUGGAUCCACCAUCCCAGUGCCCCCACCUCCCCCCUUUUUCCCCGCCUCCCCCGUUCUUCCCCUGUCGCAUCGUCGGAAGCUUGCCGAAGCACCCGUCCCUACGCCCCAGUCCUUGCAUCACCAUCACCGCACUGGAUCCAUCAUCCCUGCAUCGGAUCCAUCGUCCCCCCCGUCCCCCACACUGGAUCCACCAUCCUCCGCACC